This 1379-nucleotide long non-coding RNA is filed under the name Mus pahari (shrew mouse). RNAcentral's name for it is "lncRNA (MGP_PahariEiJ_G0005288.1)". The record is from RNAcentral. Lineage: Eukaryota; Metazoa; Chordata; Mammalia; Rodentia; Muridae.
AAGUAAAAUUUUAUUACAUACUUAUUUCCAAAGAGGACAGAGAGAUACAUCAAAUAUUCCAAUUCAUUGCAUUGAUUACAGAAGAUGCUCACAACCACUUCAUAGAAACUGUACUGGGUUUUUUUUUGGGGGGGGGGCGAGAGGGGAGCAGGUAUGGUAGUAUAUACAUGCAUCCCAACAUUUACAAGACAGAGAAGGGUCUCACGUUUGGAGCCAGCCUGGGCAAUAAUUAAGAUUCUGUCUCAAAAAGGGAAACCAAGAACCACAUACAUAAAAGCCAGUUUUUUUCUUAAGUCAUCUAUCUGGAGUAAACAUCAUUUCUAAAUAACCUACAAGACCAAGGUGUUAACAGUAGCAAACUAAGAUGGAAAAGUCAGUCAGGGGUAUUUUUCUGGGUCUUUAAAUGUAACUCAGGCUGGCUAGUAACUCAUGAUCCUGCUUCUGCCUCCCAAAUGCUAGAAUUACAAGUAUACGCUGCCGCCUCUGGUCAGUCAGUAGGGGCUAUAUCUUUGCCUCCAAAGAAGCUCUUAGAGGACUGUCACCUACUUGCCUUAUACAGGUCACAGUAUUUUUGCAGGGCCACUUCUUCCAUGGCUUUUAUCUACCAUAUAGGAAGCCAGCCCCUUUGUCCUUCAUUCAGAUGCAGUAGACACAGGAUCUCUUAAUUGAGCUGAGAAGUUGGUUUUCAAAACAAGAAACCACAUGAAGAAAAUCUUUGAUAAAUAAGCAACCAAAGGUCUUAGAUUGCAGUAUAUGAAAUGUAAUGUCACCUGUAAACAACCACCAUACUGCCAGACCUUAUGGAUUGCUUGGCUGAUCUACUGUAAUCACAUGAUACAGUACAGCCAGGCCAGUACCCAUGACAGGCCUGCCUUCUACCUAGGAAGGUUCCUGUCACACCUCAUAGGGCUGUGCUGGUGGUAAUGGUAAAGUAGAAAACUUUGAAAAAGGCCGUCUAACUCCUAAAUUGCCUUCUUCAGCACAAGCCAGAGAUAAAGCACCCAAUGUGACAUUUGAGAUAUCCUCUUCUGGAGACAACAUGAAGCCACAGCACAGCUGUGGCAGACAAGGGAAGAUGUGCCUUGUGGCCUUGGCCUUAUAGUGGUCCAGCCUGGAUGCCAGCUCGUCUUCUCCAGAUUCCACAUUCCUUUUCUUCAGGUUAAUGAGUGACAGUGGCUCUCGCCUGUCCCAGUUGGAGUCCCAGACGCCGCGCCCGGGUCGCGCUCCCGUCCAGGCCGGCGGCUCGGUCGCGCGCGUGUCUGCAUCCCCGCCACCUCGCGGCUUCCCUACCGCCACCGCCGAGAAGAGAACAGCGGCCGAGCCACCCGCCAGACCACAGGCCGCCAGCUGAAGCGCCUGCCGGAAAGCCAUGCCGCAAA